AAAUUGCAAGAAAAGAAAAAUGGGGAGUUGGUUUCUUUCCACUCCUAGAUCAUCUUCCGCCUCCACUCCUUCACCAACAUACAAACCGUCACACCGAUCCAACCCUUCCACCUCAAAACCUUUAAUCUUCGUAGCUUUGCUCCUCAACUGGUCCCCACUUUUUGUCACCCAUCGGAGCUCCUCGUCGACGGCAUCGAUGCCGACAAAUCGUACCCGUUGCAGAGGCUUAAGAUCUCGAAGAUGAGCUGUGCAGCCUAGGCGAGGUUGUGAUUUUGCGGCAGCGACCACGAGAUCAUCCGUACCCUCUGCUUUCUCAACAAUCUCUAUCUCACAAGGUACGCUGUUAUUCGCUCGCUUGUUCCCUCUGUCGUUUUCAGCGGAAUGAGUUAUUGAAUCAGAUCCGGAAAGAAUUGUGUGUUUCUUCGUUGAUCCUUCAGUUUAAUUCUCUAUGCUGAUAAAUUCCUAACCUGAUUCUGGUUUUGUGUAGUUUAACUCCAACUUGCUUUGUGAAAUUAACCACUUAAGUGUAAUGAUGGAACAAUAAACUGAGAAUUUUCUGCUUCCAAAAGAGAUAACUCAACUGCAGCAUUUAAUAAUUUCGAUAAUUGAUGGGCAUUUUUGCUAGUUUUUUGUUGUUGUUUAAAUACACAGAAUUUUGUCAAUUUUAGUUGCUAAAAAGUGCAUUGCGGUUGCAAAAUGGUAUCAACAAGUGUUUUGCUUGCCUUUGUUUGGACUUGGAUUGAAGGAGAAGAUUUGUACUAGCGGUGUUAUGCCUGUAAGUUAUAGCAUUUUAUGCAGAAGAUGAAUGACUCUUAUAUGCAACAUAGACUUAAAAGAAUUUACUUUUAAACUGCUAUAUGAUAUGUAGUUUUAUCCUCUUCCUUUGUUGGCAUGAAAGUAAGCAAAUGUGUUCUUCCAUUCAAGUUUUUCCUUAUUAACUAAUGAACACAAUUAACAAGUGAUUCGUCCAGUUUCAAUUCCGUUCUCUACAGCUCCCUCCUCACAGUUAAUGGUUUGGAGCUUGGGAUUAAUCUAAAUUAAAAUAACUUAGUAAACAUCCUUCCUCUGCCUGGAAAUUUUAUCAAACAUGAUGCCUUCCUCACUCCACUUGUUAACCGAUUGAAAUCAUGACUACAUGGCAAUCUUUUUCAUUCAUUCAUCCAAUUCAACAAUAUAUUAAUUGACUUUGAAGAGACAUGUGGGGCUAUAUAUCUUUGGGUUACUUUAAGCUGGUAAGUUUUCUUAUGUACACUACAACUUUGCAGAGAAUCAUGUCUUUGUUGCUGUCAACCUUGGUAAUAACCUUAAUUUUAUAUGUUAAUGAACCUUUGACAUUCUUGUUUAAUUUAUUGAUACUAGAACCAAUACCUAGAGAGUAAUAUAAUUGAUAUUUCUUACACUCUAUUGAGGUAUGAACCCAUGAGUAUGACCUCAUGCAAACUACCCAAAUGCCUCACUCUAACUCAAUCCUAGAGUGUGGGUCUGUAUCAUUUAGUUUUUUUCACUUAUAAAGUUCUAUUGUUAAAUGAUUCAUGCACCAAUUACAAUAUGAUAUCAUCAUCCAAGGAGAUUUUACUUCUACUGAGUUAUUCUCUAAUUCACUUGUUAUUUCUAUUUUGCAUAAAUUUGCUAGCUUCAUGUCUACCAAUAUGGGGAUGGUUUUUCUGAUUGUCUUUUAGGACUGGCUUUUGUUUCAUUUUCCUUGCAUGGGGUGUCUACUAGGGUGAAUCAAUAGUGGGAAAGCAUUUCAUUCCUCACUUCUGCAGUGGUUGUUGUGUGUGGAGCAAUUUACUUGGUCUGUCUUCUGGUUGGAUAUGAUUCCUUCACUAAGAUAUGCUUCUUGCCUUCUGCUGUUGUGUCACGCUUUUAAGGGAUAUCCUUUUUCUUUCCAGCUUCAUUACUAUUGUUCAGUCAAUGUAGAUAAUUGUCUGGGUAGGCUUAUAGUGGACUAAUUGCUGCCUGUUUGGAGUAGUGGGCUCUUGUAGUUGUUUUAAUCAGCUGAUCCUCAGGUUAUUAUUCGUAGAUUUGGACAUGUUUUAGCUGCAUUCCUUUUUCCAUUUUUAGCUGGCCUUUGAUUUUCCAAAUGUGAAAUUUAAGUUAUAAGUUUCCCAUUACUUAGUGCAUCUUCCUUUUUAUUUUCCGUAGUUUUUCUAUUUGUUAUUUUCCCUGAAUGAUUUGAAAGAACAAGCCCAUUCUAGUGAGUGCUAUGAAAAAUCCCUGCUUGUGAGUCUUCUUGAACUGCUAUAUCUGAGAUGCAUGUUUUCUAUGAGAUAAGAAAACUUGCAUGUGAUUGCUUUCUAUAUCCUCUUGAUGUUAUCAUUGGACUUGAUUUAUAUACAUAUCAAAUCAUAUUUAUAAAUUGUACUUUUGAUCUGUUUAUAAACAUGUCUAUUUAUUUACAUAAGUUUUCUAUAGAACAGAGAUAUCUGAGUUUACGGCAUCCAUUUAGUCGUCUUUAUUCUUUGGCUUUUGUAGUGCCCCUUGUCAGACUAAUAGUGUUGAUUGUGGAUAUUAUGUGAUGAAGUUAAUGAAAGAUAUCAUUACUCACCAUCAACUUGUGAUCCAAUGAGGUAUUUCGAAGAUUGUCAGUUCAUUUCCCAUAAUGAAGAGCAAUUGCGUGAAGUUAAAGAUGAGUGGGCUGCUUAUUAUGUAGUUAACAAAUAUUUAGUAGUUAAUAUAUUAGAUGUUGAUAUCAUGCACUUUAGAAAUUGUUUCAGAAUUAUGAAGCUUUUGAUAUUUUAUUUAUAUA
Molecule: long non-coding RNA, 2749 nt
Organism: Lotus japonicus
Lineage: Eukaryota; Viridiplantae; Streptophyta; Magnoliopsida; Fabales; Fabaceae
Exons: 2
Source: RefSeq, a predicted model, not a curated record